This is a non-coding RNA of Phyllostomus discolor (pale spear-nosed bat), 526 nucleotides long. Lineage: Eukaryota; Metazoa; Chordata; Mammalia; Chiroptera; Phyllostomidae. The record is from the annotation of a RefSeq genome assembly.
GGAUGGCAAUGCAAUUCUGGCAUCCCAGCAGGGAAAUACCAUGAAGACUAAGGACACGUACAUGAAAUUCAGCUGGCUGACCGUGACUGCAAAGUCAAUGGAUAAAGAACACAAAUGCAUCGUCAAACACGAGAAUAAUGAAAGAGGAGUUGAUCAAGAGAUUCUUUUUCCUUCAAUAAAUAAAGAGGUUGCUGGUCUUAAUCCUAAAGUAGAUGAUUGCCUGGAAGAUAAAAGUGAUAUACUGCGGUUGCAGCUCACCAAUACCUCCGCCUACUACACCUACAUCCUCCUCCUCCUCAAGAGCCUGGUCUACUUUGCCAUCAUUUCCUUCUGUCUGUUUAGGAGAACAGCAGUCUGUGGCCGUGGAAAGAGUUUAUAACUGAUGGUGGCACAAUUUUUCUUUACUUCUUUCCCCUGGACAAGUCUGCUGAGGAUGUAGCUGGACUUCCUUUCUGGGUUUGGAUUAUUUCAGUUCACACACACUUUUCUAUCAUGUCAUUAUCGCAUAAUGGUUUUCAAACCACUG